ACGUACGCGAGUGAUGUAUAAAAUGUUUCGAAAAAUAAUUGUGUCGACUUGUAUCGUGCGUUCGUCGAUUUCCUUGUCGAAUAGAUUCUUAAUUGCUUCGGAAGAAAGAAGAGAGAGAGAGAGAGAGGAAGCUUACUUGGAGUGAAGAAGCGAUACUGCGUGAAAAAGAAGUAAAGAGAAUCGAUCGAUUUAGGCAUCUCCAAAAUUACAUCGUCGGCUAAUGAGACACUCAAUUUUACAGUUGCUAUUAAUAAAUUUUGAAUUCGUAAAGAAAUGAAUUCGAAGAUGAAAGAAAAAGAAAAAGAAGGAAAAAACGAAUCAAUAUUAUAUACCUACGCAUUUUGUUCAUCAGCCGACGCAUGAAGAAAUCGAAUGAUAAUGGAUUCCAGAAACUUGACGUUCGAGUUUUAUGAGACCGUCGCAGCGGAUUUAUCCCGAUAAGGAAACUUGGAAAAACGAGCUUGCACAUUCUCAACUUUACCAUCCCAACGUAUUUAACCAUGAAAGUCGAGCUACCUGAUCGAGGCUUCUUCAAUUUUCAACCAUAAAAAAUUUCAUUUCGAGUGCGAGUGUCCUCUUUUCGUUAAAUUGAAAUUCAUAUAGGAACGUUCUCAGAAAACUAGUGUCGUAACAUGGCUAAAAAAAAAAACAGAACUAUGCACAGUGCACUCACCGAAAACGAUCUUAAAAGAACAUGGAAGAUGUUCGUUCGAAAGGAUAGAAAAACAACAAAAAAUAGAGACACGGAGAUGGAAUCAGAGAGACAGAGAGACAGAAAAAAAGAAGAAGAGAGAAAAAAGGAAAAAAGAAUCAAGAAAAUGUCUAUGUAACAGAAGAAGAAGAAGAAGAAGAAGAAGUAACGGUGUCCUGGAGCAGCGAUAAGGGCCACCCGUUGGCGCCACAACGAUAUUGGAAUGUCAGAUUUCUUUCGAAUUCCAAAUGGAAUCGAACUUACCUCACCCCUACCCAAAAACCCUUAAAUCCUUCAAACCCCUCAAACCCCUCAAACCCUUCAAGUCCUCCACAUUCUCCCUCUACCACCCCACCCCCCUAACUUUCCCCAUUUCUACCACACAAAACUCUGGAAUUCCAAUCUCUCGAUUUUCUAUCGUUAUUUUUUUUUUCUUUCUUGUUUAUUUUUUUCCUUUUGGAACUUUUCCUUUUUUGUAAUUUUUCUUUCGUUUCUCUUUUCCUUUUCUUUUUCUUUUCUUCUCUUUUUUCGUCUUGAUUCGUUCUCUCUCUCUCUCUCUCUCUCUCUCUCUCUCUCUCUUUUUCUUUUUUAUUUUUGUUUCUUUUUUUUUGUUUUUGUUUUUGUUUCUUUGUUAUUCUUUCUCUUUCUCUUUCUCUUUUUUUUUUUCAAGAAAGUAGUAGCGAAUUAGGCAGGAAUAAAACUCGAACACUAUGCUCGGUUUUUACGCUUUUUCGAAUCUGCUCGUAGAGUAUGUACCACGAUUGAUUUUUGUAAUUCUUCUUCUUUCUAUUCUUCUUCCUUUUCUAAAGCUUUUUUGUGUUCUACUUUUAACGACAAAUAGUUGUACAAUACAAGUCGUUGUAGUUGUCAUCGUCGUUUUCGUUUUCGUUUUCGUUUCUUUCUUAAAUGUUUUGUUUUAGAAUCUAUCGAUCGAUAGAUCGACCAAUUUGGUUUUCGUCUAUCGUCGCAUACGAUGAUCGUGAACAGUGAUUUUAUUUUUUUUAUCGAACUAUUCUGUUUUAUGAGUAUUUGUUCGUUCGUGUUUAUGUUUUUCUAUGUAUAUUUUUCUCUGAGUGUAUUUGUGUUUGUAUGUGUUCGUACAACAAUAUGGUAUAUACAAUAUCUAAAAAAUUAUUUCGUAAAAUAUCAAUGAUGAACAAUUUUUGAAAUGGUUCUCAUCAAAAAUUAAUCCUUAAUAUAAAUAAAAUUUAUCUAUUUAUAUUUCCAAGUCAUUUAUUUACGUCAUUUAUUUCUUUGAUCUCGUUUAUGUUAAUGAUCAUUAAAUGAGAUUUAUGAUUCCGCGUGAUUGAAGGAAGAAAAAUAAAAAAAAAUAAAAUAAAAUAAAAAUAAAAUGUUCUUUACAUACUUCUUAUCAUAACGUUC
Molecule: long non-coding RNA, 2074 nt
Organism: Vespula vulgaris
Lineage: Eukaryota; Metazoa; Arthropoda; Insecta; Hymenoptera; Vespidae
Exons: 4
Source: RefSeq, a predicted model, not a curated record